GCCCCCGUAGCUCAGGCGGAUAGAGCAGCGGUUUCCUAAACCGUUUGCCGGGUGUUCGAGUCACCCCGGGGGCGCCA
Molecule: transfer RNA, 77 nt
Filed under: Deltaproteobacteria bacterium
Lineage: Bacteria; Pseudomonadati; Myxococcota; Myxococcia
Also listed under: 7 other names
Description: tRNA-Arg
Rfam family: tRNA
About the family: Transfer RNA (tRNA) molecules are approximately 80 nucleotides in length. Their secondary structure includes four short double-helical elements and three loops (D, anti-codon, and T loops). Further hydrogen bonds mediate the characteristic L-shaped molecular structure. tRNAs have two regions of fundamental functional importance: the anti-codon, which is responsible for specific mRNA codon recognition, and the 3' end, to which the tRNAs corresponding amino acid is attached (by aminoacyl-tRNA synthetases). tRNAs cope with the degeneracy of the genetic code in two manners: having more than one tRNA (with a specific anti-codon) for a particular amino acid; and 'wobble' base-pairing, i.e. permitting non-standard base-pairing at the 3rd anti-codon position.
Source: RNAcentral